AACGGCAACCAUAUCACAUCACAGGAAUUUGAUUUGGCAAUUAGAAGAUCAUCAGUGGUAUUUUGCAAAGAAGUCUCAAUCUGAAUAUUUGCUUGGGGGCAGAUAUAUUUGCUGUUUACAGGCAAGAUAGCAGCCAGAAGGACAAAUUAAAAACACCAUGAAGAAGCAAUCGGCCAAGUCCAGAAGGCGGGGCAUCCAACAGGACAACUGGCAGGAUGUCAACAGUAAUUUCUCUUCCCUCACGCGGAUACAAGGUUUUCUGUGGAAAGGAAAGGAGCAACAUGGGGAAGGAUGCUUGAGAGAGUGGACCUACUAACUGGUGAGUUUUACGAGAACAGGAGAGAGAGGGUCUGCUUCAUAUUUAUCUGUUUCAUAGCACUAAUCAAAGUGCCUUGAGCAGAGCUGAAGAACAUUUAAGACUGGAAGUGUUAUUGUAAAAUACACCUGCACAUAUCCUAGAUCGAAGCAAUAUAAGAUAUAUUACCAAAGUUUCUAUUUUUACAAUAAUCCUUAAAUGGCUUGAAUUUCUGUUUAUUGUUCUUGAUCACUAGGUAAUUCAUUUUUUUUGUCAGUUACAAUCAUAGAUUAUUAGAGCUCGGUUUUCAUAUUUAAACUUAAAGAACUUUAAAUAAUGUACCAACAGUUACAUUGCUAGUUAUUAGUAAAAUCAGAAUUACAACUGUGUUUCCUGUCCCUAAAUCAGGGCACAUUCUAAUAUGCCCUCUGCCUCCCACAUACCCUGUUUCCCCCAAAAU
This is a long non-coding RNA of Hipposideros armiger (great roundleaf bat), 755 nucleotides long. RefSeq lists it as uncharacterized. The record is from RefSeq and is a predicted model, not a curated record. The transcript has 3 exons. NCBI's taxonomy places the organism in Eukaryota, Metazoa, Chordata, Mammalia, Chiroptera, Hipposideridae.